CUUACCUAUCUUGACAUCCAGAGAAUCUAGCGGAGACGCUGGAGUGCCUUCGGGAGCUCUGAGACAGGUGCUGCAUGGCUGUCGUCAGCUCGUGUUGUGAAAUGUUGGGUUAAGUCCCGCAACGA
This 125-nucleotide ribosomal RNA is filed under the name Vibrio cholerae. RNAcentral's name for it is "partial 16S ribosomal RNA". It matches the Rfam family "Bacterial small subunit ribosomal RNA", at positions 970 to 1095 of the family's 1533-position model. The record is from RNAcentral. Lineage: Bacteria; Pseudomonadati; Pseudomonadota; Gammaproteobacteria; Vibrionales; Vibrionaceae.